Molecule: ribosomal RNA, 253 nt
Filed under: uncultured bacterium
Lineage: Bacteria
Description: partial 16S ribosomal RNA
Rfam family: Bacterial small subunit ribosomal RNA
Source: RNAcentral
UACGUAGGGGGCAAGCGUUGUCCGGAAUCAUUGGGCGUAAAGAGCGUGUAGGCGGCCAGAUAAGUCCGCUGUGAAAUCUCGAGGCUCAACUUCGAGCUGUCGGUGGAAACUAUCUGGCUAGAGUCCGGAAGAGGAGAAUGGAAUUCCUGGUGUAGCGGUGAAAUGCGCAGAUAUCAGGAGGAACACCAAUGGCGAAGGCAGCUCGCUGGAACGGUACUGGCGCUGAGGCGCGAAAGCGUGGGGAGCAAACAGG